This 1867-nucleotide long non-coding RNA is filed under the name Panax ginseng (ginseng). RNAcentral's name for it is "long non-coding RNA (PGIN_LNC009950)". The record is from RNAcentral. Lineage: Eukaryota; Viridiplantae; Streptophyta; Magnoliopsida; Apiales; Araliaceae.
AAUUUUUAAUUUUUUAAAUUAUUUUAUUAAAUUAAUUAAAAUUUUAAAAUUAGACUAUUUUGUUAAAUUGACUAAACUUUUAUCAAAUUAUUUUAAAUUUUUUCCUACAUGACUGGUAAAAAAAAUAAAAAAUGACCUGGGAUGCUGUCUACGUGGUUGAUGAUCCUCAUCAUCAAUAAAUUACCACUUGAGUUUCCUGAUUAUCCUCAUCGCCAUCUUGAUUUCCACCACCACUACUGCCGCCACCCCCCUCCACCAUCAACCACCCAAGAAAACCUAACCCACGUACAUCACUGGCUAUCAUCGCUGCCCUCUCCACCAUGGGCUUCGAACAACUCUACCUCUCCUUCGAUACCAAAAUACAAACCCUAUUCCCAAAUAUCUGUUGCCAAACCCUAAAUUCCAUCUAAUUAUCUAACUGGUCGGUGGCUUUGACCUUGUAUGGAGCUGGAGAGUGGGGAUGUUAAUUCAGCUCUUCUCCUCAUCGCCCUUUCUCUUUGGCCCACUCAUUACCACCCAUCCCCCUCCCGGCCCACCAUUUCUCCUUCUUCCUUGUCCUGCCUCUUCUGAUCUACUUAGUUCUGUUUAGUCUUACCGAUGACUACAAUGAGAACCUCCGAAAAUCUCCUCUCUGAUCUAUUAUUAUAUGCCAAGUCUGAGGGUUUAUAGAUUGUAUGGCGUUCUUGCGAGAUUAGUAGAGGGUGAUCGUGUGUGGCUUGGAUUUUGGGAGUUAUGAUCUGAGCUGGGGAUCGAUUUGGGUUCUUGUCCGGAGGUUUGGAUUUGUUCUGGUGAUGGUUUGGCAGAUGGAUCUGCUCCAGAUCUGAUAAUUUGUGUGCAUAUUGGUUAUCUUUUCAUUAUCAGAUUUUUGAUGUUUUAUUUCCUUUUUGGUUUGUUUUACAGCUAGUUCAGUUCUGGUUGGACUAGAUUUCGUCGUUCCAACCAGUUUUAUUUGGGUUAUUCUUAUUUCGUCUGACCUGGGUUUUUCCAGAUUUGUUAAGUUAAUUUUCCUGUGUUGGUUCGGUUGAUUCCUCUGAUUUUUUGCUUGAAAUCUUGGGGCUUGAAGUAUUGAUUUCCCCGUUCCGAUUCCUUCUAUUUACUGUUUUUUGUUUUUUGUUUGAAUCUUUUGGGGUGUUUUUAUCCGGUGCAUCUAUCUUCUCGGCUGUUCUGGUGGUUGGAUUUGGGAUUUUGGUCUUAUGGCCUGCUCCAGUGGAUCCAUGUGCUCUAUGUUCAAUCUGUUGUUAUUUUUCUGUUCCAAUUCCAAUCGUCUUUUGAUCUCCGGCACUCUGACGUUCCGGUUGGUUUGAGCCAGAAUGCUAAGACCUUUGGAAGAGCCAUUGGGGCCCACAAUUUUUUGUUUUAUUUUUAUUUUUGCUUAGUUAAAUUUGUCAUGUCACAUUAUUAUUAUUUUUAUCUUUUUUUUAAUGCCACGCGUAAAUUAAGUUUACGGCCAUUAUUUUAUUUUAACAAAAUAGUCUAAUUUUAAUUUUUUAAUUAGUUUAAUAAAAUAAUUUAAAAAAAUUGUGUAAAAAAUAAAAGUUGAAAAAAUCGUUAGUUUUGGCGAAUGUUAAUGUAGUAUAUAUUAAAUGAAAUGUCUGUAUAAGUCAUGUGCUCAUAACUGAGCUGGUUGAAAAGCAACUUAAAGGCAGAUGACAUGUUCCAUCUUAGAGCUUUCUCACCUCUCAAGUUAAACCACAUCUGAUCAGUCUCGAAGCUUUUACUUUUCACGCCCACGACAUUUAUACACAUAUACAUACAUUUAUCUUUAUCCAUCAGAAUAAAUCGUGCUUAUGAAUGUAAUUGGUCACUAAAUUUUGCAACAUUUAUUGUAAAAUUUGAAGAUCAAAUAAUAUAUAAUGUCAUAGAAAAU